AAUGUCGGCCGUAACUAUAACGGUCCUAAGGUAGCGAAAUUCCUUGUCGGGUAAGUUCCGACCUGCACGAAUGGUGUAACGAUCUGGGUACUGUCUCGGCCAUGAGCUCGGUGAAAUUGUAGUCGCGGUGAAGAUGCCGCGUACCCGCAACGGGACGAAAAGACCCCAUGAACCUUUACUAUAGCUUCACAUUGGUAUUGGGUAAAUGAUGUGUAGGAUAGGCGGGAGACUUUGAACCUGCGUCGCUAGGCGUGGGGGAUUCGUUGGUGAAAUACCGCCCUUUAUUUAUCUGAUGCCUAAUCCAGCAAUGGAGACAGUGUGUGGUGGGUAGUUUGACUGGGGUGGUCGCCUCCAAAAGAGUAACGGAGGCUCCUAAAG
This 378-nucleotide ribosomal RNA is filed under the name Alexandrium margalefii. RNAcentral's name for it is "partial Bacterial large subunit ribosomal RNA". It matches the Rfam family "Bacterial large subunit ribosomal RNA", at positions 1926 to 2315 of the family's 2925-position model. Lineage: Eukaryota; Dinophyceae; Gonyaulacales; Pyrocystaceae. The record is from RNAcentral.